CCUACGGGCGGCAGCAGUCGAGAAUCAUUCACAAUGGGGGAAACCCUGAUGAUGCGACGCCGCGUGGGGGAAUGAAGGUCUUCGGAUUGUAAACCCCUGUCAUGUGGGAGCAAAUUAAAAAGAUAGUACCACAAGAGGAAGCGACGGCUAACUCUGUGCCAGCAGCCGCGGUAAUACAGAGGUCUCAAGCGUUGUUCGGAAUCACUGGGCGUAAAGCGUGCGUAGGCUGUUUCGUAAGUCGUGUGUGAAAGGGGCGGGCUCAACCCGCGGACGGCACAUGAUACUGCGAGACUAGAGUAAUGGAGGGGGAACCGGAAUUCUCGGUGUAGCAGUGAAAUGCGUAGAUAUCGAGAGGAACACUCGUGGCGAAGGCGGGUUCCUGGACAUUAACUGACGCUGAGGCACGAAGGCCAGGGGAGCGAAAGGGAUUAGAUACCCGGGUAGUC
This 446-nucleotide ribosomal RNA is filed under the name uncultured bacterium. RNAcentral describes it as "partial 16S ribosomal RNA". It matches the Rfam family "Bacterial small subunit ribosomal RNA", at positions 338 to 795 of the family's 1533-position model. The record is from RNAcentral.